Dendroctonus ponderosae (mountain pine beetle) is the source of this 540-nucleotide long non-coding RNA. RefSeq lists it as uncharacterized. NCBI's taxonomy places the organism in Eukaryota, Metazoa, Arthropoda, Insecta, Coleoptera, Curculionidae. The transcript has 3 exons. The record is from RefSeq and is a predicted model, not a curated record.
GGCAGGAAUAUAAAGAAAGCCAACGCCCCACGUCCACCUAAUGAAUUGAAUGUGUAUUCUACAAUGUCAACAGAAUGGACAGAAUUGAAUCCGACUUGAUUGGGCCCUUUAAAACUUCCGUUUGUCUUUUGACACUUUCGGUCGUUGGAUGAAGAAGAGGUAACCAAGACCCAAAUCAGGAGACUUAACUGCAAACAAAUGAGACGCAGUACUAAUCACCCGAGCAGCAGAUGCACCUUUUUAUGCCACCAAGAUUAAAACAGCUUCUAGCUAUAUUUAAAUACAAUCAUCGAAUUAUUCAUGCAUCAUUACGUAUUCAAGUAGAGUCGACUGGAAGGCAGAAGAGUUGUUUAGAAACAAGGUUCACACUGCAACCAAUCACGACACUAGUUAGAACAGUCAGUCGUUUAUGGACGAAUGGACAUCGAAAUAAAUCUGAAACGCAGUCGACAAAGUCGCGAAUGAACCGUGAAAAUGUAAAGUAGCACCGUGAGAAAACAAAAACCGUUUUAAUGCUUCAUUAAACAAAUUUAACGAAAA